This 497-nucleotide ribosomal RNA is filed under the name uncultured bacterium. RNAcentral describes it as "partial 16S ribosomal RNA". It matches the Rfam family "Bacterial small subunit ribosomal RNA", at positions 28 to 507 of the family's 1533-position model. The record is from RNAcentral.
GAUGAACGCUGGCGGCGUGCCUAAUACAUGCAAGUCGAGCGAACAGACGAGGAGCUUGCUCCUCUGACGUUAGCGGCGGACGGGUGAGUAACACGUGGAUAACCUACCUAUAAGACUGGGAUAACUUCGGGAAACCGGAGCUAAUACCGGAUAAUAUAUUGAACCGCAUGGUUCAAUAGUGAAAGACGGUUUCGCUGUCACUUAUAGAUGGAUCCGCGCCGCAUUAGCUAGUUGGUAAGGUAACGGCUUACCAAGGCAACGAUGCGUAGCCGACCUGAGAGGGUGAUCGGCCACACUGGAACUGAGACGCGGUCCAGACUCCUACGGGAGGCAGCAGUAGGGAAUCUUCCGCAAUGGGCGAAAGCCUGACGGAGCAACGCCGCGUGAGUGAUGAAGGUCUUCGGAUCGUAAAACUCUGUUAUUAGGGAAGAACAAAUGUGUAAGUAACUAUGCACGUCUUGACGGUACCUAAUCAGAAAGCCACGGCUAACUACGUG